RNAcentral lists this ribosomal RNA (478 nucleotides) under uncultured bacterium. Its description in RNAcentral is "partial 16S ribosomal RNA". It matches the Rfam family "Bacterial small subunit ribosomal RNA", at positions 28 to 507 of the family's 1533-position model. The record is from RNAcentral.
GAUUAACGCUGGCGGCGUGCAUAACACAUGCAAGUCGAACGAUGAAACUCAUUAGAUUUCUUCGGAAUGAAAAUGAAUGGAUUAGUGGCGAACGGGUGAGUAACGCGUGAGUAACCUGCCUUACACAAGGGGAUAGCCUCUGGAAACGGAGAAUAAUACCCUAUGAAACCAGACAAUCGCAUGAUAAUCUGGUCAAAAUGUUUAGUGGUGUAAGAUGGACUUGCGUCUGAUUAGCUAGUUGGUGAGAUAAAAGCUCACCAAGGCAACGAUCAGUAGCCGGCUUGAGAGAGUGUACGGCCACAUUGGGAAUGAGACACGGCCCAGACUCCUACGGGAGGCAGCAGUGGGGAAUUUUGCACAAUGGGGGAAACCCUGAUGCAGCGACGCCGCGUGAUUUAGAAGGCCUUCGGGUUGUAAAAAUCUUUUGUAUAGGAAGAAAAUGACAGUACUAUACGAAUAAGGUCCGGCUAAUUACGUG